ACUCAAAUGAAUUGACGGGGGCCCGCACAAGCGGUGGAGCAUGUGGUUUAAUUCGAAGCAACGCGAAGAACCUUACCAGGUCUUGACAUCCCUUGCAAGUCAUAGAGAUAUGAUGUUCCUUCGGGACGAGGAGACAGGUGGUGCAUGGUUGUCGUCAGCUCGUGUCGUGAGAUGUUGGGUUAAGUCCCGCAACGAGCGCAACCCUUGUUGCUAGUUGCUACCAUUAAGUUGAGCACUCUAGCGAGACUGCCGGAGACAAUUCGGAGGAAGGUGGGGAUGACGUCAAAUCAUCAUGCCCUUUAUGACCUGGGCUACACACGUGCUACAAUGGCAAUAACAGAGGGAAGCGAGAGGGCGACCUUGAGCAGAUCCCUAAAAAGUUGUCUUAGUUCGGAUUGCAGGCUGCAACUCGCCUGCAUGAAGUCGGAAUCGCUAGUAAUCGCGAAUCAGCAUGUCGCGGUGAAUACGUUCCCGGGCCUUGUACACACCGCCCGU
RNAcentral lists this ribosomal RNA (495 nucleotides) under uncultured bacterium. Its description in RNAcentral is "bacterial SSU rRNA". It matches the Rfam family "Bacterial small subunit ribosomal RNA", at positions 899 to 1397 of the family's 1533-position model. The record is from RNAcentral.